Molecule: transfer RNA, 75 nt
Filed under: Deinococcus sp. QL22
Lineage: Bacteria; Thermotogati; Deinococcota; Deinococci; Deinococcales; Deinococcaceae
Description: tRNA-Gly
Rfam family: tRNA
About the family: Transfer RNA (tRNA) molecules are approximately 80 nucleotides in length. Their secondary structure includes four short double-helical elements and three loops (D, anti-codon, and T loops).
Source: RNAcentral
GCGGGGUUGGUGCAGCGGCCAGCAUGCCAGGCUUCCAACCUGACGACAAGGGUUCGAGUCCCUUACCCCGCUCCA